RNAcentral lists this ribosomal RNA (912 nucleotides) under uncultured bacterium. RNAcentral describes it as "bacterial SSU rRNA". It matches the Rfam family "Bacterial small subunit ribosomal RNA", at positions 1 to 916 of the family's 1533-position model. The record is from RNAcentral.
UUAGAGUUUGAUCCUGGCUCAGGAUGAACGCUGGCGGCGUGCUUAACACAUGCAAGUCGAACGAAGCACCUUAUUCUGAUUUCUUCGGAAUGAAAAAUUUGGUGACUGAGUGGCGGACGGGUGAGUAACGCGUGGGUAACCUGCCUCAUACAGGGGGAUAACAGUUAGAAAUGACUGCUAAUACCGCAUAAGACCACAGCACCGCAUGGUGCAGGGGUAAAAACUCCGGUGGUAUGAGAUGGACCCGCGUCUGAUUAGGUAGUUGGUGGGGUAACGGCCUACCAAGCCGACGAUCAGUAGCCGACCUGAGAGGGUGACCGGCCACAUUGGGACUGAGACACGGCCCAAACUCCUACGGGAGGCAGCAGUGGGGAAUAUUGCACAAUGGGGGAAACCCUGAUGCAGCGACGCCGCGUGAGCGAUGAAGUAUUUCGGUAUGUAAAGCUCUAUCAGCAGGGAAGAAAAUGACGGUACCUGACUAAGAAGCACCGGCUAAAUACGUGCCAGCAGCCGCGGUAAUACGUAUGGUGCAAGCGUUAUCCGGAUUUACUGGGUGUAAAGGGAGCGUAGACGGAGUGGCAAGUCUGAUGUGAAAACCCGGGGCUCAACCCCGGGACUGCAUUGGAAACUGUCAAUCUAGAGUACCGGAGAGGUAAGCGGAAUUCCUAGUGUAGCGGUGAAAUGCGUAGAUAUUAGGAGGAACACCAGUGGCGAAGGCGGCUUACUGGACGGUAACUGACGUUGAGGCUCGAAAGCGUGGGGAGCAAACAGGAUUAGAUACCCUGGUAGUCCACGCCGUAAACGAUGACUACUAGGUGUCGGGCAGCAAAGCUGUUCGGUGCCGCAGCAAACGCAAUAAGUAGUCCACCUGGGGAGUACGUUCGCAAGAAUGAAACUCAAAGGAAUUGACGG